GGAGCUCUGGUAAGGUGAGGAGGAUGUGUCAAUCUUCUGUGGUGGUUUUACACCUGCAAAGCCCCCAGAUUCAGUUGCUCUCCAGGCUGUCCCAGUGAACAAUAUCAGCUCUCACAUCAGAGGAUUUAAAUACUUGUACAAGGCAAUGUGAACAGCAGAAGGAAAGCGAGAUGACUUUACUAUUGCUGGGAAAAAGCAGGGUCCCUCUGAAGAUAAUGGGUCCCUUUGUUUGCAAGACAGAGAGAGAGCAAGACCCCAAGGAG
Molecule: long non-coding RNA, 263 nt
Organism: Manacus vitellinus (golden-collared manakin)
Lineage: Eukaryota; Metazoa; Chordata; Aves; Passeriformes; Pipridae
Exons: 3
Source: RefSeq, a predicted model, not a curated record